Molecule: ribosomal RNA, 386 nt
Filed under: uncultured delta proteobacterium
Lineage: Bacteria; Deltaproteobacteria
Description: bacterial SSU rRNA
Rfam family: Bacterial small subunit ribosomal RNA
Source: RNAcentral
GCUAAGACUGGAUAGGGUCCCCGAGGUGUAGGCUGCGGGGGGAAAACGGGCCUCUGAUGCAUGCUCGUGGGUACCGGGGAUGAGCUUGCGGCCCAUUAGCUAGUUGGUAGGGUAAAGGCUUACCAAGGCGACGAUGGGUAGCUGGUCUGAGAGGAUGAUCAGCCACACUGGCACUGAGACACGGGCCAGACUCCUACGGGAGGCAGCAGUGGGGAAUUUUGCGCAAUGGGCGAAAGCCUGACGCAGUAACGCCGCGUGGAGGAUGAAGGCCUUCGGGUUGUAAACUCCUGUCAGGGGGAACGACGGGGACCGGGGGACAACUGCGGUCCGCCAGACGGUACCUCCAAAGGAAGCCCCGGCUAAUUCCGUGCCAGCAGCCGCGGUAA